UGGUGGUACUAGCGCAGUGGAACCACCUGAUUCCAUGCCGAACUCAGAAGUGAAACGCUGUAGUGCCGAUGGUAGUGUGGAGGUAUCUCCAUGUGAGAGUAGGGAACUGCCAGGCA
RNAcentral lists this ribosomal RNA (116 nucleotides) under Candidatus Mikella endobia. The record is from RNAcentral. Lineage: Bacteria; Pseudomonadati; Pseudomonadota; Gammaproteobacteria; Enterobacterales; Enterobacteriaceae.